RNAcentral lists this ribosomal RNA (367 nucleotides) under uncultured bacterium. Its description in RNAcentral is "bacterial SSU rRNA". It matches the Rfam family "Bacterial small subunit ribosomal RNA", at positions 434 to 793 of the family's 1533-position model. The record is from RNAcentral.
CAGUAGGGAGGAAGGUAGUGUAGUUAACACCUGCAUUAUUUGACGUUACCUACAGAAGAAGCACCGGCUAACUCCGUGCCAGCAGCCGCGGUAAUACGGAGGGUGCGAGCGUUAAUCGGAAUUACUGGGCGUAAAGCGCAUGCAGGCGGCCUGUUAAGUCAGAUGUGAAAGCCCGGGGCGUUAACCUCGGAAUUGCAUUUGAAACUAGGCAGGCUAGAGUCUUGUAGAGGGGGUAGGAAUUUCAGGUGUAGCGGUGAAAUAGCGUAGAGAUCUGAAGGAAUACCAGUGGCGAAGGCGGCCCCUCGGACAAAGACUGACGCUCAGAUGCGAAAGCGUGGGGAGCAAACAGGAUUAGAUACCCUGGUAG